GACGAACGCUGGCGGCGUGCUUAACACAUGCAAGUCGAACGGAAAGGCCCUGCUUGCAGGGUACUCGAGUGGCGAACGGGUGAGUAACACGUGGGUGAUCUGCCCUGCACUUCGGGAUAAGCCUGGGAAACUGGGUCUAAUACCGGAUAGGAGCCAUCUUUAGUGUGAUGGUUGGAAAGUUUUUUCGGUGUAGGAUGAGCUCGCGGCCUAUCAGCUUGUUGGUGGGGUAAUGGCCUACCAAGGCGGCGACGGGUAGCCGGCCUGAGAGGGUGGACGGCCACAUUGGGACUGAGAUACGGCCCAGACGCCUACGGGAGGCAGCAGUGGGGAAUAUUGCACAAUGGGCGCAAGCCUGAUGCAGCGACGCCGCGUGGGGGAUGACGGGCUUCGGGUUGUAAACUCCUUUCGCUAGGGACGAAGCUUUUUGUGACGGUACCUAGAUAAGAAGCACCGGCUAACUACGUG
This 465-nucleotide ribosomal RNA is filed under the name uncultured bacterium. Its description in RNAcentral is "partial 16S ribosomal RNA". It matches the Rfam family "Bacterial small subunit ribosomal RNA", at positions 28 to 507 of the family's 1533-position model. The record is from RNAcentral.